GAUGAACGCUGGCGGCGUGCUUAACACAUGCAAGUCGAACGGAAAGGCCCUGCUUUUGUGGGGUUCUCGAGUGGCGAACGGGUGAGUAACACGUGAGUAACCUGCCCUUGUCUUUGUGAUAACAUCAGGAGACUGGGGCUAAUACCGGAUAGGAGCUCCUGCUGCAUGUUGGGGGUUGGAAAGUGUCGGCGGUGGGGGAUGGACUCGCUGCUUAUCAGCUUGUUGGGGGGGUAGUGGCUGACCCAGGCUUCGACGGGUAGCCGGCAUGAGAGGGUGGCCGGGCACAUUGGGACUAAGAUACGGACCAGACUGGAACGGGAGGCAGUAGUGGGGAACAUUGCAGAAUGGGCGGACGCGUGAUGCAGAAGCGCCGCGUGCGGGAUGACGGCCUUCGGGUUGUAAACAACUUUCUACUGUGCCAAAGCGGGAGUGACGGUAAUGAAUAAAGAAGCACCGGCUAACUACGUG
RNAcentral lists this ribosomal RNA (468 nucleotides) under uncultured bacterium. Its description in RNAcentral is "partial 16S ribosomal RNA". It matches the Rfam family "Bacterial small subunit ribosomal RNA", at positions 28 to 507 of the family's 1533-position model. The record is from RNAcentral.